Molecule: long non-coding RNA, 458 nt
Filed under: Brassica napus (rape)
Lineage: Eukaryota; Viridiplantae; Streptophyta; Magnoliopsida; Brassicales; Brassicaceae
Description: long non-coding RNA (BNAP_LNC021009)
Source: RNAcentral
ACAUAACAACACAUCUCAUUAGUUUUAUUAUAUUGUUAGUCCAUUUGCUAACAUCACAUAGAUAUAACUUAAUAUCGCUCAUCUUUAUUUAAAUAAUCAAGCUGCAACUGCGUCGAUGGGAACUUCCGCUACUAAUGAUGGAACAUUUUCAUUGGUCAUCAUGUUACCACAUCCUCCACCGCACCCACCGCACCCACCGCAUCCAGUGGAACCGCCAGUGCAGGAGCCGCCACCUGUGGUAACAUUUUCAUUGGUCAUCAUAUUACCACAUCUUCCACCGCCUCCUCCGCACCCACUGCCACCGCCACAUCCUCCACAUCCACCACAACCACCACAAUGACCACCUUCUUCUUCCACCAUGUUCCCACUGUUAAGCUCCUUGGACAAGCACCUAGCACCGCCAUUGAUCUUCAUAUGCAUCAUUGUUUCUUCUUCUAGCUUCACAGUUAUUCCAUUAC